CCUCAGCAGCCAAGAACGUAAUCCAGCAGAUGAUGGAAAGGAUAAGUGCACAAGCUCCGCAACCUCCGUGCUUCAGGGCCUUUCUGAAGCAGAAGGAGAAUAGACAGGCCCACCUCAUCGUGAGCACUUGACUCACCAAAAGUAGAACAGUUGCAGUAAUUCCUAAACUUGUUGCAAUCUCUGAGUCGUAGACACAAUAAUUG
RNAcentral lists this unclassified non-coding RNA (203 nucleotides) under Hevea brasiliensis (rubber tree). Lineage: Eukaryota; Viridiplantae; Streptophyta; Magnoliopsida; Malpighiales; Euphorbiaceae. The record is from RNAcentral.